GAUUAGGCAUGCAAGUCGUGCGAGAAGCCAAUUAGCUUGCUAAGAGGUGGACAGCGGCGAAAGGGAGAGUAACGCGUGGUUACGUGCCCCGAGGUCCAGGAUAGCGUUGGGAAACCGGCGGUAAUACUGGAUGAUAUCUUCGGAUCAAAGGUGUGAUUCCGCCUUGGGAUCGGACCGCGUACUAUUAGCUUGUUGGUGGGGUAAUGGCCUACCAAGGCUGUGAUGGUUACCGGGUGUGAGAGCAUGGCCCGGCUCACUGGGACUGAGACACUGCCCAGACACCUACGGGUGGCUGCAGUCGAGAAUCUUCGGCAAUGGACGAAAGUCUGACCGAGCGACGCCGCGUGCGGGAUGAAGGCCCUCGGGUUGUAAACCGCUGUCAGUUGGAAGGAAGGGCCUGUGCAGAGCAGGUCUUGACCGAUCUUCAGAGGAAGGACGGGCUAAGUUCGUGCCAGCAGCCGCGGUAAGACGAACCGUCCAAACGUUAUUCGGUAUCACUGGGCUUAAAGCGUGCGUAGGCGGCCUGGAAGGUGAGAUGUGAAAGCCCACGGCUCAACCGUGGAAUUGCGUUUCAAACCGCCAGGCUUGAGGAAGACAGGGGUGUUGGGAACUUAUGGUGGAGCGGUGAAAUGCGUUGAUAUCAUAGGGAACACCGGUGGCGAAGGCGCAACACUGGGUCUUUUCUGACGCUGAGGCACGAAAGCUAGGGUAGCGAACGGGAUUAGAUACCCCGGUAGUCCUAGCCGUAAACGAUGAGCACUGGGUUGAGGGGACUUCCACAUCCUCUC
RNAcentral lists this ribosomal RNA (788 nucleotides) under uncultured organism. RNAcentral's name for it is "bacterial SSU rRNA". It matches the Rfam family "Bacterial small subunit ribosomal RNA", at positions 47 to 843 of the family's 1533-position model. The record is from RNAcentral.